This 413-nucleotide ribosomal RNA is filed under the name Anaplasma platys. Its description in RNAcentral is "bacterial SSU rRNA". It matches the Rfam family "Bacterial small subunit ribosomal RNA", at positions 59 to 504 of the family's 1533-position model. The record is from RNAcentral. Lineage: Bacteria; Pseudomonadati; Pseudomonadota; Alphaproteobacteria; Rickettsiales; Anaplasmataceae.
UCGACGGAUUUUUGUCGUAGCUUGCUAUGAUAAAAAUUAGUGGCAGACGGGUGAGUAAUGCAUAGGAAUCUACCUAGUAGUAUGGGAUAGCCACUAGAAAUGGUGGGUAAUACUGUAUAAUCCCUGCGGGGGAAAGAUUUAUCGCUAUUAGAUGAGCCUAUGUUAGAUUAGCUAGUUGGUAGGGUAAAGGCCUACCAAGGCAGUGAUCUAUAGCUGGUCUGAGAGGAUGAUCAGCCACACUGGAACUGAGAUACGGUCCAGACUCCUACGGGAGGCAGCAGUGGGGAAUAUUGGACAAUGGGCGCAAGCCUGAUCCAGCUAUGCCGCGUGAGUGAGGAAGGCCUUAGGGUUGUAAAACUCUUUCAGUGGGGAAGAUAAUGACGGUACCCACAGAAGAAGUCCCGGCAAACUCC